GAUUUAUAAGCCUGUCAAUGGUGAAAACACUGUCGUCCGAACGAAGGUACCAGCUUUCUUUCUUUUAGCAUCUUUGUAUACCCGGCAACGUUAUGUAGAGAACACAUUAAUGUUACAAUAUUCAGAAGUCUGUGUCCAGGUUAUGCACUCUCAGCGACUGAAUGAACAGCCUUUAAAGCCAUGGGUGAUCGUCAGCAGCAGUGGAAAGGUGGAGUGUGCACACUGCACCUGUAUGGCAGGAGUAGCAGAGACAUGUACCCAUGUAGGUGCUCUGUUAUUUAAAGUGGAGGCUACUGUUCGGAUUAGUGGAAAAAAAAACAGUCACAGAUGUGCCAGCAUACUGGGUUUUGCUGCGCAGUUUGAGCAAGAUUAAAGCUGGAGUGGGAUACAGGAUUGAAUACACCUCAUCAGCCAGGCAAAAAAAAAGUGCUUGACCAGCGCAUAACUGCACCCUCCACUGUGCCAGGCAUAAGGAGUCGUGCCCAAAAAAGGAAAAUUCCCCUAGCUAAUCUUGAAGAGUUAUCACCACUUCUUGACACACUGCUGCAGCAUAGCAAGGCUGUUGGUUUGUCAGGGAUGGAGAACUAUUACACACUGAAAGCAGACACAGUGCAGCCUUCUGCAGUACCCAAGUCCCUUGCAACAUCUCUGUGUGAUAAAAGCAUAGAUUCACAUGACCUUUCAGCUAUCCAACUGCACUGUGAGAAAUACAGGCAUGCUGCAAAUGUGAAUGAUGAGCAGGCAGCAGCUAUUGAGAUGUGCACAAGACAACAGCAUAAUUCUUCUGCUUGGUAUGCAGGUCGGACUGGAAGAAUUACUGCCUCAAACAUGCAUGCAGUAUUUGCCACCAGUAUGGAAAAGCCAGCCCUGACAGUUGUGAAAAAGUGUGCAACCCACAACAUCCAGUGUCCACCAUAUAAACUAGAUGGGGUAUAGAGCAUGAGAUUGAUGCUCAAAAGACCUACCUUCACACCAGAGCCCCGCAUCACACAAACCUAAAAGUGGAACAGUGUGGUUUUAUAAUAAACCCCAGCUUCCCAGAAGUUGGAGCCUCUCCUGAUGGACUUACAAUGUGUGAUUGCUGUGGGAAAGGCUGCCUUGAAAUUAAGUGUCCCUUCAAAUAUAGAUCAUGCAGCUUCCAACAGGCCUUAGAAACAAAGGACAAAGACUUCAGUCUCGAGUUGUCCUAUGUGUGCUAAAGAAAAUUUUAGUGCCUCCUACUGCUGCAAUAUAAUGUAUGAUAUUUUAUGGCAAUCUUGCACAAUGUGUAAAUGCAGUAAUCUAUUCAAGUGUUAAUUAUAAGUGGGAACUUUCCAGAAGUAAAUGGUUACUGGUUAUGCAAUGGCUAGUAGUGACUAUCAAGACAUUGUAAAAGUGGGAAUUUUCUGGAAAGAAGAUGAAAAUUCUUUAUUGGUGGACACUUCCUGAUACUGCAAUAUUGUAUGAUGUAUGUGUUGAGAAAUCAAGCAUUUAAGUAGAACUCGUUAACUAGAGCUGAUAACUGAGGGUGUAGUGCACAUACGCAUCCUGGAAAAUUAUUUUAUACAUUUGAUUCACUUUGCACUGCAGUGAAAAGAAUAAAUGUUUUGUCAAUGUGUUUUUCCCCCUAUAUUUACACAGUCAUUUACACAGUGCAAGUAGCAAUGUCAAAUGUAUAUCAAAUCAAUCACUGAAACAUCAGCUCCACCUUAAGAAAUAGCAUGUAAAAUUUGUAUGUGUACAUGGGAUAGUGAUAAUUAAUGAGAUAUAGUAGUAAUUUGUAUGACUAUAGUACCAAUUUGUCUUGUAAUAAACAAAGAAAUAUAUAUCCUGUGAAAAUAAAUGUAUAAAUAAAUAAUCAUAAAAAUA
Long non-coding RNA from Myxocyprinus asiaticus (Chinese sucker), 1848 nucleotides. RefSeq lists it as uncharacterized. The transcript is spliced from 2 exons. The record is from RefSeq and is a predicted model, not a curated record. Lineage: Eukaryota; Metazoa; Chordata; Actinopteri; Cypriniformes; Catostomidae.